RNAcentral lists this ribosomal RNA (442 nucleotides) under uncultured bacterium. RNAcentral describes it as "partial 16S ribosomal RNA". It matches the Rfam family "Bacterial small subunit ribosomal RNA", at positions 338 to 795 of the family's 1533-position model. The record is from RNAcentral.
CCUACGGGAGGCAGCAGUGGGGAAUAUUGGGCAAUGGGCGCAAGCCUGACCCAGCAACGCCGCGUGAAGGAAGAAAGCUUUCGGGUUGUCAACUUCUUUUAAGAGGGAAGAGCAGAAGACGGUACCUCUUGACUAAGCAACGGCUAACUACGUGCCAGCAGCCGCGGUAAUACGUAGGUGGCAAGCGUUGUCCGGAUUUACUGGGUGUAAAGGGCGUGUAGCCGGGCUGACAAGUCAGAGGUGAAAUCCGGGGGCUCAACCCCCGAACUGCAUGUGAAACUGUUGGUCUUGAGUAUCGGAGAGGCAGGCGGAAUUCCUAGUGGAGCGGUGAAAUGCGUAGAUAGUAGGAGGAACACCAGUGGCGAAGGCGGCCUGCGGGACGACAACUGACGGUGAGGCGCGAAAGCGUGGGGAGCAAACAGGAUUAGAUACCCCUGUAGUC